RNAcentral lists this ribosomal RNA (305 nucleotides) under uncultured bacterium. Its description in RNAcentral is "bacterial SSU rRNA". It matches the Rfam family "Bacterial small subunit ribosomal RNA", at positions 334 to 655 of the family's 1533-position model. The record is from RNAcentral.
UAUUCCUACGGGGGGCAGCAGUCGGGAAUAUUGCGCAAUGGAGGAAACUCUGACGCAGUGACGCCGCGUAUAGGAAGAAGGUCUUCGGAUUGUAAACUAUUGUCGUUAGGGAAGAGAAAGGACAGUACCUAAGGAGGAAGCUCCGGCUAACUACGUGCCAGCAGCCGCGGUAAUACGUAGGUGGCGAGCGUUGUCCGGAAUUACUGGGUGUAAAGGGAGUGUAGGCGGGAAAGCAAGUCAGAAGUGAAAACUAUGGGCUUAACCCAUAGCCUGCUUUUGAAACUGUUUUUCUUGAGUGAAGUAGA